CUCAUUUCAGUAUGAUGUACACUAUAUUUGAAAUGAUUCAGUGAAGAUUAACAUGGCUUCUGUGCAAAAUUGAAAUACCAAUUUAUAAGCAUCUCAGGGUUCUA
This is a small nuclear RNA of Acomys russatus (golden spiny mouse), 104 nucleotides long. The record is from RefSeq and is a predicted model, not a curated record. Lineage: Eukaryota; Metazoa; Chordata; Mammalia; Rodentia; Muridae.